UUGGGAGGCUCUGCCCUCUCCCUAAUGGAGAGUCCCUGGAAACAAUAGUUUUAAUGUGGACUCCUCUGGCCUCCUGAGGGCCCCUCAACCUCCGUAGCUGGCCUUCUGCCUGCAUUACUCACAGGUCUUCCCGUUGUGAGCCCUCACUUCUGGAGUUGGGAAAGAUUAAGAAUUUUUGAAAACUUUUUAGAAGACCUGGUAAUGGAGGUUUUCUGAAGAUAAAGAUUUUCCAGGAAUGGAAGAGGCAGAUGGAGAUCUGUUUCGUGAUCAAUGCAGAACUCGGUGCCUUCUUCAAUCUUAUCCAACUACAAGCACAAAGAGACUUGGUAUCUGUAUCUUAAGGAUCUUAAUUAAGGCAACGAAUUCCUGAAGAAAGACCCAGAGACAGGAGAGACCCUAGUGAAGUAGACACACAGAGGGAGGACAGCCAUGUGACAACAGCAGAGAUUGGAGUGGUGCAUCUGCAAGUCAAGGAAGCCAAAGAUUGACAGCCAUCACCAGACCUAGAGGCAAUCAAGGAUUCUUCCUUACAGGUUUCAGGGUGAGUGUGGCCCUGCUGACAGCUUGAUGUCAGACUUGCAGCUCCUAGAACUGUGAGACAAUAAAAUCUAUUAUUUUAAGCCACCCCAUUUCUGGUACUUUGUUAUAUCAGCCCUGGGAAAUUAAUAUAGUGACUUUAAGGGUUUCUACCUUCCUUGGCCCUCCCCAACAGGUCUCACUGAUUCUGUCAGUGAACAUAGCAAACAUCUUUGGAACCUAAAUCAGAUUACAUGAUUUAACCAUUAGAGUAUACUUAUGGUGGGGAGGGUAUAGCUCAGUGGUAGAGUGCACACUUUGCAUCCACCAGGCCCUGGGUUCAAUCCUCAGUACCUCCAUUAAAAAUAAACAAACAAACCUAAUU
Camelus dromedarius (Arabian camel) is the source of this 901-nucleotide long non-coding RNA. RefSeq lists it as uncharacterized. The record is from RefSeq and is a predicted model, not a curated record. The transcript is spliced from 3 exons. NCBI's taxonomy places the organism in Eukaryota, Metazoa, Chordata, Mammalia, Artiodactyla, Camelidae.